This 480-nucleotide ribosomal RNA is filed under the name uncultured bacterium. RNAcentral's name for it is "partial 16S ribosomal RNA". It matches the Rfam family "Bacterial small subunit ribosomal RNA", at positions 28 to 507 of the family's 1533-position model. The record is from RNAcentral.
GAUGAACGCUAGCGGCAGGCCUAACACAUGCAAGUCGAGGGGACGGUUACUUUCGGGUAACUUAGACCGGCGGACGGGUGCGUAACGCGUAUACAAUCUGCAUCUCACUGGGGGAUAGCCCUAAGAAAGGGGGAUUAAUACUCCAUAGUAUAGUAAUACGGAAUCGCGAUGCUAUAUAAGCUAAGGUGGUUAAAGAUGAGUAUGCGUUUUAUUAGCGAGUUGGAUAGGUAACGGCUCCCCAAGGGGAUGAUAGAGAGGGGUUUUGAUAGUGAAGUCCCCCACACUGGUACCACGAUCCAGACCCCACUCCUACGCGACGCAGGAGUGUCGUAUACUGGACAAUGGUCGGUAGCCGGACCCAGCCAUGCCGCGUGCAGGAUGCUGGUCUUAUGGAUUGUAAACUGCUUUUGUAAGGGAAGAAUAAGAGCUACGCGUAGUUUGAUGACGGUACCUUACGAAUAAGCAUCGGCUAACUACGUG